AAGGGCACCACCAGGCGUGGAGCAUGCGGCUUAAUGUGACUCAACACGGGGAAACUCACCAGGUCCAGAUGCAAUAAGGAUUGACAGAUUGAGAGCUCUUUCUUGAUUUUUCAGGUGGUGGUGCAUGGCCGUUCUUAGUUGGUGGAGUGAUUUGUCUGCUUAAUUGCGAUAACGAACGAGGCCUUAACCUGCUAGAGUAGCCAGGCUAGCUUUGGCCUGGUCGCCGGCUUCUUAGAGGGACUAUCGGCUCAAGCCGAUGGAAGUUUGAGGCAAUAACAGGUCUGUGAUGCCCUUAGAUGUUCUGGGCCGCACGCGCGCUACACUGGCAGAGCCAACGAGUUCUUCACCUUGGCCGGAAGGUCUGGGUAAUCUUGUUAAACUCUGUCGUGCUGGGGAUAGAGCAUUGCGAUUAUUGCUCUUCAACGAGGAAUGCCUAGUAAGCGCAUGUCGUCAGCAUGCGU
RNAcentral lists this ribosomal RNA (461 nucleotides) under uncultured eukaryote. Its description in RNAcentral is "SSU rRNA". It matches the Rfam family "Eukaryotic small subunit ribosomal RNA", at positions 1160 to 1641 of the family's 1831-position model. The record is from RNAcentral.